RNAcentral lists this ribosomal RNA (253 nucleotides) under uncultured bacterium. RNAcentral describes it as "partial 16S ribosomal RNA". It matches the Rfam family "Bacterial small subunit ribosomal RNA", at positions 524 to 776 of the family's 1533-position model. The record is from RNAcentral.
UACGGAGGGUGCAAGCGUUACACGGAAUCACGGUGCGUAAAGGGCGCGUAGGCGGCCUAGCAAGUCUGGUGUGAAAGCCCAGGGCUCAACCCUGGAAGGGCACUGGAAACUGUUAGGCUUGAGUUCCGGAGAUGAGGGGGGAAUUCCCGGUGUAGCGGUGAAAUGCGUAGAUAUCGGGAGGAAUACCGGUGGCGAAGGCGCCCCUCUGUACGGAAACUGACGCUGAGGCGCGAAAGCGUGGGGAGCAAACAGG